UACAGAGGUCUCAAGCGUUGUUCGGAUUCAUUGGGCGUAAAGGGUGCGUAGGCGGUUGUGUAAGUCAGAGGUGAAAUUCCGGGGCUCAACCUCGGAACUGCCUUUGAUACUGCUCAACUCGAGUACUGGAGAGGAGACUGGAAUUCACGGUGUAGCAGUGAAAUGCGUAGAUAUCGUGAGGAAGACCAGUGGCGAAGGCGAGUCUCUGGACAGUUACUGACGCUGAGGCACGAAGGCUAGGGGAGCGAACGGG
RNAcentral lists this unclassified non-coding RNA (253 nucleotides) under uncultured Verrucomicrobiota bacterium. RNAcentral's name for it is "uncultured Verrucomicrobia bacterium contains 16S-23S intergenic spacer region". It matches the Rfam family "Bacterial small subunit ribosomal RNA", at positions 524 to 776 of the family's 1533-position model. Lineage: Bacteria; Pseudomonadati; Verrucomicrobiota. The record is from RNAcentral.